Long non-coding RNA from Mustela erminea (ermine), 701 nucleotides. RefSeq lists it as uncharacterized. The record is from RefSeq and is a predicted model, not a curated record. The transcript has 3 exons. Lineage: Eukaryota; Metazoa; Chordata; Mammalia; Carnivora; Mustelidae.
CAGCACCCUGUGAGAGAGGAAGAGUUGUGUCCAGGCGUCCCGGCUCACUCUACUCGCCAGCUUGAGGAGGUUUUCAGAUUAAGUUGCAUCCUAGCAUACUCACAGCAGGACCGGCAAAUCCAUUGGGGCCAGCGGGACCGACCUCACCGCGUUCACCCUGGGUGGGGGGAAGGGAGAUUAAGAAUGGCGCAGCAGUCUUGGGUUCAUUAAGGUCGAAAAGUUAUGAGUGUCCCGGAUGACCCAGGUUUCCACUUACAGGGCUGCCUCGGGGACCAGCAGGACCAGCAGGACCAGCAGGACCGGCUUCACCCUAUAAUGGGACCAAAGAGGAGUUUGUCACAUCCGUGCUCCCAGAGGCAUGUUUCAUUCAGUCUUUAAAACAAAGGAGUUGUUAUUCCAAUACAGUGCAAGUAACUGGGUUUAUUCUCUCCAAAGUACCAAUACUGAGCCAUUUUGAAGAAACGUGUGUUUGGUAACUUUUAUUCCAGACUGACGUUGGCUGUUGGUCAGCCCAAACCGCCCAGAGGAGCAAAGGUGAGUUGCCUUUUUGUACCUUUAGACUUCCCUAGGUCUGUUUUCAUCUUUCCUUUAGGAGCCAACUUUUUUCCCCAUCCUCAGAUCUCAUAAAAACAAAACUGGUAAUGUGAAUUUGUUCCUUACAAUCACUCAUUAGUAUCCACAGUGUGAAUACUGAAAGUGGA